GACGGGUGAGUAACGCGUGGGAACGUGCCCUUUGCUACGGAAUAGUCCCGGGAAACUGGGUUUAAUACCGUAUGUGCCCUUCGGGGGAAAGAUUUAUCGGCAAAGGAUCGGCCCGCGUUGGAUUAGGUAGUUGGUGGGGUAAUGGCCUACCAAGCCGACGAUCCAUAGCUGGUUUGAGAGGAUGAUCAGCCACACUGGGACUGAGACACGGCCCAGACUCCUACGGGAGGCAGCAGUGGGGAAUCUUAGACAAUGGGGGCAACCCUGAUCUAGCCAUGCCGCGUGAGUGAUGAAGGCCUUAGGGUUGUAAAGCUCUUUCAGCUGGGAAGAUAAUGACGGUACCAGCAGAAGAAGCCCCGGCUAACUCCGUGCCAGCAGCCGCGGUAAUACGGAGGGGGCUAGCGUUGUUCGGAAUUACUGGGCGUAAAGCGCACGUAGGCGGACUGGAAAGUUGGGGGUGAAAUCCCGGGGCUCAACCUCGGAACUGCCUCCAAAACUAUCAGUCUGGAGUUCGAGAGAGGUGAGUGGAAUACCGAGUGUAGAGGUGAAAUUCGUAGAUAUUCGGUGGAACACCAGUGGCGAAGGCGGCUCACUGGCUC
Molecule: ribosomal RNA, 599 nt
Filed under: Paracoccus homiensis
Lineage: Bacteria; Pseudomonadati; Pseudomonadota; Alphaproteobacteria; Rhodobacterales; Paracoccaceae
Description: bacterial SSU rRNA
Rfam family: Bacterial small subunit ribosomal RNA
Source: RNAcentral